UUUUAUGGUCGGGCGCAAUGGGAGGCCUUCGGGCCUGCCGGUCCCUGUGAGCCGGUCUGUCAACCCGUUGUUGCCCGGCCACCCCG
This 86-nucleotide non-coding RNA is filed under the name Albimonas pacifica. The record is from RNAcentral. Lineage: Bacteria; Pseudomonadati; Pseudomonadota; Alphaproteobacteria; Rhodobacterales; Paracoccaceae.